Molecule: ribosomal RNA, 351 nt
Filed under: uncultured bacterium
Lineage: Bacteria
Description: bacterial SSU rRNA
Rfam family: Bacterial small subunit ribosomal RNA
Source: RNAcentral
GACGAACGCUGGCGGCGUGCUUAAUACAUGCAAGUCAACUUGACUUUAGAUAGCAAUAUCGAAAAGUAGGGUGGCGCACGGGUGCGUAACGCGUAGGUAAUCUGCCCUGAGGUCUGACAUAACCCGUCGAAAAGGCGGGCUAACAUCAGAUGAUAUAUAAUCACGACAUCGGUGGAAAAUAUCAAAUCUUCGGAGCCUUGGGAUGAGCCUGCGUCUGAUUAGGUAGUUGGCGGAGUAAUAGCCCACCAAGCCUACGAUCAGUAGCUGGUCUGAGAGGAUGAUCAGCCACACUGGAACUGAGGCACGGUCCAGACUCCUACGGGAGGCAGCAGUAAGGAAUAUUGCUCAAGU